RNAcentral lists this long non-coding RNA (306 nucleotides) under Bos taurus (domestic cattle). RNAcentral describes it as "long non-coding RNA NONBTAT022939". The record is from RNAcentral. Lineage: Eukaryota; Metazoa; Chordata; Mammalia; Artiodactyla; Bovidae.
GGGGGCUCCCAAGCCUCUCAGGGCGUCUGGCAUCUCUUGAGUGAAAUAUGGCUACGCUAAUGUCUCCUGCUGCAGGCUGCUGGGACAGCUCAGGCCCUGGGCUCAGCGCUAGGCACUUAGCUGUAUGUGUAGCCCAGGUUCAGUUUGUCUUGUGACUAUAAGAGCUCACAGUAGGACAGUGCCUGAAGCAAAAAUCUCGUGUCCCUUCCCUUUCACUAUGUUCUUCCCAGUCUCCUCCUCAUGGGUGUCCUGGUACAUUCUCACAUAUGGAUGGGAUUGGCAAUCUAUAGGGUGCUGCAGCUAUGC